AGAGUUUGAUUCUGGCUCAGGAUGAACGCUAGCGACAGGCUUAACACAUGCAAGUCGAGGGCAGCAUAGAAGUAGCAAUACGUUGGUGGCGACCGGCGCACGGGUGAGUAACGCGUAUGCAACCUACCUAUCAGAGGGGAAUAACCCGGCGAAAGUCGGACUAAUACCGCAUAAAACAGGGGCACCGCAUGGUGAUAUUUGUUAAAGAAAUUCGCUGAUAGAUGGGCAUGCGUUCCAUUAGGUAGUUGGUGAGGUAACGGCUCACCAAGCCGACGAUGGAUAGGGGAACUGAGAGGUUGGUCCCCCACACUGGUACUGAGACACGGACCAGACUCCUACGGGAGGCAGCAGUGAGGAAUAUUGGUCAAUGGGCGGGAGCCUGAACCAGCCAAGGCGCGUGAAGGAAAAGAAGGAUCUAUGGUUCGUAAACUUCUUUUGCAGGGGAAUAAAGUGCAGGACGUGUCCUGUUUUGUAUGUACCCUGAGAAUAAGGAUCGGCUAACUCCGUGCCAGCAGCAGC
Molecule: ribosomal RNA, 519 nt
Filed under: uncultured bacterium
Lineage: Bacteria
Description: bacterial SSU rRNA
Rfam family: Bacterial small subunit ribosomal RNA
Source: RNAcentral